UACAGAGGUCCCAAGCGUUGUUCGGAAUUACUGGGCGUAAAGGGAGCGUAGGCGGGCUCUUAAGUUGGAUGUUUAAAACCGGGGCCUAACCCCGGCGUGGCAUCCAAAACUGGGAGUCUUGAAUGGGACAGAGGCCAGUGGAAUUAGAGGUGUAGCGGUGGAAUGCGUAGAUAUCUCUAAGAACACCAGUUGCGAAGGCGGCUGGCUGGGUCCACAUUGACGCUGAGGCUCGAAAGCGUGGGGAGCAAACAGG
This 253-nucleotide ribosomal RNA is filed under the name uncultured bacterium. Its description in RNAcentral is "partial 16S ribosomal RNA". It matches the Rfam family "Bacterial small subunit ribosomal RNA", at positions 524 to 776 of the family's 1533-position model. The record is from RNAcentral.